CAGCCCACUAGCUAGCUCACACCCCAAAAUACAACAAUCAAUUUUUAUACCCCCAAAUAAGCCAAAAACACCCAAGACCAAACCAUUUUUCCACCCAAGUACGGGAGACAGAAAAGGAAACAUCGAAGCAACAGCAACAGUACCGCAAGGGAACGCUGAAAGAGAAGUGAAACAAACCAGUAAAGCACAGAAAAGCAGAGCUUAACCCUCGUACCUUUUGCAUCAUGAUUUAGCAAGAAACCAUCAAGCGAAGAGUAUUUUAGUUUGACUCCCCGAAACCAAGUGAGCUACUCCAAGACAGCCUCUAAGGGCGCACCCGUCUCUGUGGCAAAAGAGUGGGAAGAUCUUUGAGUAGAGGUGACAGACCUACCGAACUUGGUUAUAGCUGGUUGCUCAGGAAAUGAAUAGGAGUUCAGCCUUUUGCCCUCUUUCUACACAAACUGGUUUCACCCCCUCCGCCAGCACCCAAGUAAAGCAAAAGAGUUAGUCAAAGGGGGAACAGCCCCUUUGAAAAAAGAUACAACUUUACCAGAAGGGUUAAGAUCAUAUCAGCCUUUGAGGGAAAGUGUUAUGGUUGGCCUAAAAGCAGCCACCCACGCAGAAAGCGUUAAAGCUCAGACACAUUUUCACCCCGACUAUUCUGACCACACAAUCUUACCCCCCUAAGCAUACUGAGCCCUCCCAUACUUAUAUGGAAGUGACCAUGCUAAUAUGAGUAAUAAGAGGCCCAGAGCCUCUCCCUGCACAACCGUACAUCGGAACGAACUGACACCGAAAAUCAACGGCCCCAAAGCAGAGGGCACUGAAAUAUUAAGGCGAGACACUAGAAAAACAUCCAACCCCCCUCCACCGUUAACCUUACACCAGAGUGCACACAAGGAAAGACUUAAAGAAAAAGAAGGAACUUGGCA
Molecule: ribosomal RNA, 911 nt
Filed under: Ostorhinchus selas (meteor cardinalfish)
Lineage: Eukaryota; Metazoa; Chordata; Actinopteri; Kurtiformes; Apogonidae
Description: partial 16S rRNA
Rfam family: Bacterial large subunit ribosomal RNA (bases 193-911)
Source: RNAcentral